GUCGUAUAAUGUCUUAAAUUUUGAUUUAAAAUAAAAUUUAAAAUUAAUAUUAAUAUAAAUGAUAUAGAUUUGCUAUUAGACACCCAUCAUUUAUAUAGAUUUGCUAUUAUAAAAUUUUAAUAUAAGAUACUAAAAAACAUGACAGUCAUGAGAAAACCCCGUCAUAUAAUGAUAAAGCAAUUUGGUACCCUAGCUUCUUGUUUUCAUAUUCAGAAGGCUUUCUAGUUCUCCAAACUCUUAAGCUUUUAGAUCAAGAGUAGUAUGUAGAACUUUGGCCUCUACCUCCUUGUUGCCCUAUUCGAUUCGAUCGUCAGUAGAGCUAUUGCUAUCGCCACCUAGAUAUGACGUUCUUUGCCUCAGAUCGUCGAUAUGCUCUGUUCGUCGCUGCUCGUGCUGUUUUGUGAUCUGCUCCUCACUGUCGUUUUUGUCUGUUUAGCCGAUUGUCACGACCAUUGAAGAAGGUGAAGUCGAAGAAAGGCUUGCCAUUGAAGAACAUCCGAGAAUGAUUUGAUUUCUACAUGAACCGUUCGUAUUGCUUCCCGUGUCCUCUAUAUAGAGGACACUAAUUGGAAUAUUAGGUGCUCGCUCUUCCCUCUCUCCUGAAGAAAAUAUAUGAAGACAUGAAAAAAAUGAUGCCCCUGUAUCUUGAACCUAAUGGAGUCAAUCUAUGUGCUACCUCUUUGCUUCAAAAUCAACUAUACUAGAAUAGGGAGCUUACUAUAGCUUCUUUCAACUUCCAUGAAGAGAACUAGUGAAUGGUGAUUGACAAGAAGGCUUCUCUUAAAAAUGAUUCUCCACUUAAGUCUCCAAACCCAACUAUCUCACCUUUGAAGAAUACAAAUGAGAAUUUUUCUCCAAUAUUGACAAGCAGGACAAGCACGCCUCAGCAAAAAAGUACCAAGUCAUCACCUUGUGUGGGUAAUGUUCAUAGCAAUCUUCUUAAAGUUCCUCUCAAUAUCAAGACACGGUAUGAUCGAUCUACAACUUGGGAUGGUCUUCCUCCUAUUCUUUGUAAUCUUGGAAAGGAAGUUGCAAGUCAUAGGAACAUUUCCUUUUUAAGUUCCCUCUCCCAAGAAAAAGCCAAGUGAAGACGUGUUUUGCAAAGCUCCCACUAACAAGAAUGCUAUGACUUGGGUACAAGUUGCCUUGCGAACUAAUCUUUCCAAGUUCAUAUUAUAGUUAAAUUAAACUAUUUUGUGCUAGUUACCCUCAUUGAAGUCAUGUCUAAUUUUUUAAGUAAAUAUUAGAAAUUUAUAUGCUAAGUGAGUGAUAGUGCCAUAAUUUGUAGGAUUAGUAUAAAUACAAUUGUAAAGUGUGCAAGUUGCAAAACUUGACGUGUAGAGUUAUGAGCAUUUUUCUAUUUGCACUUUGGUUACUUUAAAUUUCUAUUGGUUAGUUCAUUACGUUAAUUUUGAUAUGGAUUGAUGGACAAUUU
Molecule: RNA transcript, 1435 nt
Organism: Prosopis cineraria
Lineage: Eukaryota; Viridiplantae; Streptophyta; Magnoliopsida; Fabales; Fabaceae
Exons: 4
Source: RefSeq, a predicted model, not a curated record